GCUUGUUCCCGGGCCGGGAGACCAGAGACCCGAGACCCGGCUUGAGCCAGGAACAAGCCAUGCUGAUAGGAAAGAAGACCGCAACUCCUCAGGCAGCUGGACCCCAUCUUGAGAGGAUACACCUGUGACCUUGAGGCUUCCUGCCAAAACUACUAGUCUGGAGGAGGAAGUGGUUCUGGAGCUGCUGGGGCUAUGGACGUUCCUCAGCAAGGCUCGGGAUUUUGCAAGCAGUCUCUAAUGCUUCCCAAUCCUUAGUGACAACAGUAUUAACUCUUCUAAUUACAAAAUGGUACAUGCCUAUUGUAAAAUACGAAAACAUUAUGAAACAGAAGUAAGUGUAACUGGUUUAAUCAUGGAGUGUCAACUCAGUGGGGUAUAUAAGAUCAUGAAAUGGUUCUUUUUCCCCCCCAGGCUCUGCCUUCAUCCAUGUUCUGUUGAAUCCCCAUGAGUGAAUGAAUGAAUGAGUGAGUACUGAGUGGGAACGAGACACUGAGGGAGGGCUUUAGGAAAGAGAAAGGCUUUCCCUCACCAGUUCCCUGAGGAAGAAUACAAACUGGAUAAAAGAUUACAACUGGUGAAAAUAUUUCCAAUCCAUAUCACAAAGAGAUUCAUCUGCCUAUUUAUCAAGAGCUCUUAGAAAUCAAGAAGAAAAAGCACAGGGACUUCCCUGGUGGUGCAGUGGUUAAGAAUCCACCUGCCAAUGCAGGGGACACGGGUUUGAGCCCUGGUCCAGGAAGAUCCCACAUGCUGCAGAGCAACUAAGCCCGUGUGCCACAACUACUGAUCCUGCGCUCUAGAGCCUGCAGGCCACAACUACUGAAGCCCAUGUACCUAGAGCCCAUGCUCCGCCACAAGAGAAGCCACUGCAAUGAGAAGCCCGUGUACCGCAACGAAGAGUAGUCCCCACUCGCCACAACUAGAGAAAACCCGCGCGCAGCAACAAAGACCCAACGCAGCCAAAUAUUAAUUAAUUAAGAAGAAAAAGCACACAAAAAAAUGUGAAGAGACUGUUCAGACAUAAUACAAAUGGCCCUUAAAUGUAUGGAAGGAUGACAGACUUUUCUCAUAAUAUGAGAAAUGCACAUCAGAACCAUGCUGAGAUAUCAUUUUUCACCUAUGGGAUUAGCAAAAAAUUGAAAAUUAAAAAAAAACUGUUGUUAAUGAGGCAUACAGAAGGAGGCAUUUUCCUACAUUGCCAUGGUGCUUGCAAAAUAGAACAACUCCUAUGGAGAAGAAUUUGACAAUAUCUACCUACACUGUAGAUACAUUUGCCUUUUGAUCCAGAUAUUCUAUUUCAGAGACUCUAUCCCACAGAUACACUUGUACAUGUGCUUUGCAAAUAUUUGGCAUUGUUUCCAAUAGUAAAAAAUAGAAAACAACACAAAUGUCCACCAACAGAGAGCUGGUUUAAUAAACUAU
Molecule: long non-coding RNA, 1419 nt
Organism: Physeter macrocephalus (sperm whale)
Lineage: Eukaryota; Metazoa; Chordata; Mammalia; Artiodactyla; Physeteridae
Exons: 3
Source: RefSeq, a predicted model, not a curated record